RNAcentral lists this ribosomal RNA (407 nucleotides) under uncultured eukaryote. RNAcentral describes it as "SSU rRNA". It matches the Rfam family "Eukaryotic small subunit ribosomal RNA", at positions 609 to 1021 of the family's 1831-position model. The record is from RNAcentral.
GUUGUUGCAGUUAAAAAGCUCGUAGUUGAACUUCAGACCUGGCCGGGUGGUCUGCCUCACGGUAUGUACUGUCUGGCUGGGUCUUACCUCUUGGUGAGCCGGCAUGCCCUUUACUGGGUGUGUCGGGGAACCAGGACUUUUACCUUGAGAAAAUUAGAGUGUUCAAAGCAGGCCUAUGCCUGAAUACAUUAGCAUGGAAUAAUAAAAUAGGACGUGCGGUUCUAUUUUGUUGGUUUCUAGAGUCGCCGUAAUGAUUAAUAGGGAUAGUUGGGGGCAUUAGUAUUCAGUUGCUAGAGGUGACAUUCUUGGAUUUACUGAAGACUAACUACUGCGAAAGCAUUUGCCAAGGAUGUUUUCAUUAAUCAAGAACGAAAGUUAGGGGAUCGAAAACGAUCAGAUACCGUUGU